AGCUGGGUUCAGAACGUCGCGAGACAGUUUGGUCCCUAUCUGCCGUGGGCGUCGAUUGUUGAAAGGAGUUGCCCCUAGUACGAGAGGACCGGGGUGAACAUACCUCUGGUGUACCUGUCAUCCUGCCAAGGGUGCCGCAGGGUAGCUAUGUAUGGACGGGAUAACCGCUGAAAGCAUCUAAGCGGGAAGCCUCCCUUGAGAUAAGCAAUCUUCGAACCGUCGUAGACCACGACGUUGAUAGGCCGGGUGUGGAAGCGCAGUAAUGCGUGUAGCUAACCGGUCCUAAUAGUUCUUUUCGCGCUUG
This 304-nucleotide ribosomal RNA is filed under the name Erythrobacteraceae bacterium. RNAcentral's name for it is "bacterial LSU rRNA". It matches the Rfam family "Bacterial large subunit ribosomal RNA", at positions 2603 to 2925 of the family's 2925-position model. Lineage: Bacteria; Pseudomonadati; Pseudomonadota; Alphaproteobacteria; Sphingomonadales; Erythrobacteraceae. The record is from RNAcentral.